This 423-nucleotide ribosomal RNA is filed under the name uncultured bacterium. RNAcentral describes it as "bacterial SSU rRNA". It matches the Rfam family "Bacterial small subunit ribosomal RNA", at positions 207 to 622 of the family's 1533-position model. The record is from RNAcentral.
AAGACCUUGCGCUUUUGGAGCGGCCGAUGUCUGAUUAGCUWGUUGGUGAGGUAAAGGCUUACCAAGGCUUCGAUCAGUAGCUGGUCUGAGAGGACGACCAGCCACACUGGGACUGAGACACGGCCCAGACUCCUACGGGAGGCAGCAGUGGGGAAUUUUGGACAAUGGGGGCAACCCUGAUCCAGCCAUGCCGCGUGAGUGAAGAAGGCCUUCGGGUUGUAAAGCUCUUUCAGCCGGAAMGAAACGGUUACGAUUAAUACCCGYAAYUACUGACGGUACCGGAAGAAGAAGCACCGGCUAACUACGUGCCAGCAGCCGCGGUAAUACGUAGGGUGCGAGCGUUAAUCGGAAUUACUGGGCGUAAAGGGUGCGCAGGCGGUUUUGUAAGUCAGAUGUGAAAUCCCCGGGCUUAACCUGGGAACU